GGUUGGAAGGAAACCCAGAAAGCAAAGAAUAAUCGUUUAACCAAAAUUCAGCUUUUCCUCCGACAAUAGAAGCUCAAAUCUCCACCAAAGAACCCUUCAACGACCCAGUAAGAAAAAGAGAGAACUUUACCCACACGGAGAGAAGAGGGAGAGAAAAAUCUUUUAAAGAGAGUCCAGAGAGACUUUUUGACAGAGAAAGAGCUUGUUUAUAGAGAGGUUUAUCAACCAUUGACGGGAGCCAUGGUAAAGUUUGACCAUUCUCUUUCCGCGCUCUCUCUCUCUCUCUCUGUAAAAAAAGAAAAAGUCUCAAUUUCUUCUCAGCUCAAGGGUCUC
This 333-nucleotide unclassified non-coding RNA is filed under the name Hevea brasiliensis (rubber tree). Lineage: Eukaryota; Viridiplantae; Streptophyta; Magnoliopsida; Malpighiales; Euphorbiaceae. The record is from RNAcentral.